AAGCUCGCUUCGGCAGCACAUACACUAAAAUUGGAACGAUACAGAGAAGAUUAGCAUGGCCCCCUGCACAAGGAUGACACGCAAAUUCACGAAGUGUUCCAUAUUUUU
Molecule: small nuclear RNA, 108 nt
Filed under: Rattus norvegicus (Norway rat)
Lineage: Eukaryota; Metazoa; Chordata; Mammalia; Rodentia; Muridae
Source: RNAcentral